Molecule: ribosomal RNA, 502 nt
Filed under: uncultured Glomus
Lineage: Eukaryota; Fungi; Glomeromycota; Glomeromycetes; Glomerales; Glomeraceae
Description: SSU rRNA
Rfam family: Eukaryotic small subunit ribosomal RNA
Source: RNAcentral
AGCAGCCGCGGUAAUUCCAGCUCCAAUAGCGUAUAUUAAAGUUGUUGCAGUUAAAAAGCUCGUAGUUGAAUUUCGGGGUCAGUAGGUUGGUCAUGCCACUGGUAUGUACUGGUCUCACUGAUUCCUCCUUCCUGAUGAGCCGUAAUGCCAUUAAUUUGGUGUUGCGAGGAAUCUGGACUGUUACUUUGAAAAAAUUAGAGUGUUUAAAGCAGGCUAACGCUUGAAUACAUUAGCAUGGAAUAAUGAAAUAGGACGUUCGAUCUUAUUUUGUUGGUUUCUAAGAUUGACGUAAUGAUUAAUAGGGAUAGUUGGGGGCAUUAGUAUUCAAUUGUCAGAGGUGAAAUUCUUGGAUUUAUUGAAGACUAACUACUGCGAAAGCAUUUGCCAAGGAUGUUUUCAUUAAUCAAGAACGAAAGUUAGGGGAUCGAAGACGAUCAGAUACCGUCGUAGUCUUAACCAUAAACUAUGCCGACUAGGGAUCGGAUGAUGUUAAUUUUUAUGA